UUGAUAGUACCUUACUACUUGGAUACCUGUGGUAAUUCUAGAGCUAAUACAUGCUAAAAACCCCGACUUCGGGAGGGGUGUAUUUAUUAGAUAAAAAACCAACGCCCCUCGGGGCUCCUUGGUGAUUCAUAAUAACUUCUCAGAUCGCAUGGCCUUGCGCCGGCGACGGUUCAUUCAAAUUUCUGCCCUAUCAACUUUCGAUGGUAAGGUAGUGGCUUACCAUGGUUUCAACGGGUAACGGGGAAUUAGGGUUCGAUUCCGGAGAGGGAGCCGGAGGAACGGCUACCACAUCCAAGGAAGGCAGCAGGCGCGCAAAUUACCCAAUUCCGAUACGGAGAGGUAGUGACAAUAAAUACUGAUACAGGGCUCUUUUGGGUCUUGUAAUUGGAAUGAGUACAAUUUAAACCUCUUAACGAGGAACAAUUGGAGGGCAAGUCUGGUGCCAGCAGCCGCGGUAAUUCCAGCUCCAAUAGCGUAUAUUAAAGUUGUUGCAGUUAAAAAGCUCGUAGUUGAACCUUUGGCCUGGCUGGCAGGUCCGCCUCACCGCGUGCACUUGUCCGGCCGGGCCUUUUCUUCUGGGCAACCGCAUGCCCUUCACUGGGUGUGUUGGGGACCAGGACUUUUACUUUGAAAAAAUUAGAGUGUUCAAAGCAGGCCUUUGCUCGAAUACGUUAGCAUGGAAUAAUAGAAUAGGACGUGCGGUCCUAUUUUGUUGGUUUCUAGGACCGCCGUAAUGAUUAAUAGGGACAGUCGGGGGCAUCAGUAUUCAAUUGUCAGAGGUGAAAUUCUUGGAUUUAUUGAAGACUAACUACUGCGAAAGCAUUUGCCAAGGAUGUUUUCAUUAAUCAGUGAACGAAAGUUAGGGGAUCGAAGACGAUCAGAUACCGUCGUAGUCUUAACCAUAAACUAUGCCGACUAGGGAUCGG
RNAcentral lists this ribosomal RNA (926 nucleotides) under Spegazzinia radermacherae. RNAcentral describes it as "SSU rRNA". It matches the Rfam family "Eukaryotic small subunit ribosomal RNA", at positions 121 to 1056 of the family's 1831-position model. Lineage: Eukaryota; Fungi; Ascomycota; Dothideomycetes; Pleosporales; Didymosphaeriaceae. The record is from RNAcentral.